AGAAAAGACCCCUGCCCUAAUGGUCUUGGCAUCUAGAGCGAGAAACAACUAAGAAGAAAACAAACAAAAGGACUGCCCGUUGAAAACUCGGAUGAAAAUACAAAUUAACAAGCUUUUGGAGAAGCCGCUGGUAAUUGGCUCUGAUGCUAUGAGCUUCCAUACAUCACAUCCUUACACUAGACUCCCAGGGGGGAGAUGGCUAAGCCAAGAAAAAACACAUUUUGAUGCAGAAGGACAAACCUGGCCCCAAAGGCCUGCAUGAUUGGAACCCUCACCCCCAACUCACCCACCUUCAUUCUGGAACUCAAGAAGGAAAAAUCAGAUUCCAGCACAGUAUACUCUUGUCCUCAAAUUAGACCUUGAGAGGGGAACAGGAGGUCUUGUGUGACCUGGAGGCCACCUGCAGACCGGCCCCCGCCUGCCAGCGGCUCCCUGCACCUCCCGGCCUGGGGGCGGUCAGAGGCCACGCAGCACACAUUGUCAGGCGGGCAGGACCAGCGGAGGUGCCACUGGUUGAACGCCUCCACAGUGACCCCCACCAUCAAAGGAGGGGGGCUAGAGUUAACCCACCCUACACUUCCCACCCCUACCAAUG
Long non-coding RNA from Nyctereutes procyonoides (raccoon dog), 595 nucleotides. RefSeq lists it as uncharacterized. The transcript is spliced from 3 exons. The record is from RefSeq and is a predicted model, not a curated record. Lineage: Eukaryota; Metazoa; Chordata; Mammalia; Carnivora; Canidae.